Molecule: ribosomal RNA, 263 nt
Filed under: uncultured bacterium
Lineage: Bacteria
Description: partial 16S ribosomal RNA
Rfam family: Bacterial small subunit ribosomal RNA
Source: RNAcentral
GUCCACGCCGUAAACGAUGGGUACUAGAUGUGGGAGGUGUCGACUCCUUCCGUAUCGUAGCUAACGCACUAAGUACCCCGCCUGGGGAGUACGGCCGCAAGGCUAAAACUCAAAGGAAUUGACGGGGGCCCGCACAAGCAGCGGAGCAUGUGGUUUAAUUCGACGCAACGCGAAGAACCUUACCUGGGCUUGACAUGUAUCUGACCGCCAUAGAGAUAUGGCUUCCCUUCGGGGCAGAUUCACAGGUGGUGCAUGGCUGUCGU